CGAGCGAACGGACGAGAAGCUUGCUUCUCUGAUGUUAGCGGCGGACGGGUGAGUAACACGUGGAUAACCUACCUAUAAGACUGGGAUAACUUCGGGAAACCGGAGCUAAUACCGGAUAAUAUUUUGAACCGCAUGGUUCAAAAGUGAAAGACGGUCUUGCUGUCACUUAUAGAUGGAUCCGCGCUGCAUUAGCUAGUUGGUAAGGUAACGGCUUACCAAGGCAACGAUGCAUAGCCGACCUGAGAGGGUGAUCGGCCACACUGGAACUGAGACACGGUCCAGACUCCUACGGGAGGCAGCAGUAGGGAAUCUUCCGCAAUGGGCGAAAGCCUGACGGAGCAACGCCGCGUGAGUGAUGAAGGUCUUCGGAUCGUAAAACUCUGUUAUUAGGGAAGAACAUAUGUGUAAGUAACUGUGCACAUCUUGACGGUACCUAAUCAGAAAGCCACGGCUAACUACGUGCCAGCAGCCGCGGUAAUACGUAGGUGGCAAGCGUUAUCCGGAAUUAUUGGGCGUAAAGCGCGCGCAGGCGGUUUUUUAAGUCUGAUGUGAAAGCCCACGGCUCAACCGUGGAGGGUCAUUGGAAACUGGAAAACUUGAGUGCAGAAGAGGAAAGUGGAAUUCCAUGUGUAGCGGUGAAAUGCGCAGAGAUAUGGAGGAACACCAGUGGCG
Molecule: ribosomal RNA, 672 nt
Filed under: uncultured Staphylococcus sp.
Lineage: Bacteria; Bacillati; Bacillota; Bacilli; Caryophanales; Staphylococcaceae
Description: bacterial SSU rRNA
Rfam family: Bacterial small subunit ribosomal RNA
Source: RNAcentral